UACGUAGGGUGCAAGCGUUAAUCGGAAUUACUGGGCGUAAAGCGUGCGCAGGCGGUUCGGAAAGAAAGGUGUGAAAUCCCAGGGCUUAACCUUGGAACUGCACUUUUAACUACCGGGCUAGAGUACGUCAGAGGGGGUAGAAUUCCACGUGUAGCAGUGAAAUGCGUAGAGAUGUGGAGGAAUACCGAUGGCGAAGGCAGCCCCCUGGGAUGAUACUGACGCUCAUGCACGAAAGCGUGGGGAGCAAACAGG
Molecule: ribosomal RNA, 252 nt
Filed under: uncultured bacterium
Lineage: Bacteria
Description: partial 16S ribosomal RNA
Rfam family: Bacterial small subunit ribosomal RNA
Source: RNAcentral